UACCUUAGUAACGGCGAGUGAAGCGGUAACAGCUCAAAUUUGAAAUCUGGGUCUUUUAGGCUCCGAGUUGUAAUUUGUAGAAGAUGCUUUGGGUGCGGCCCCGGUCUAAGUUCCUUGGAACAGGACGUCAUAGAGGGUGAGAAUCCCGUAUGUGAUCGGUGGCUUGCGCCCGUGUAAAGCUCUUUCGACGAGUCGGGUUGUUUGGGAAUGCAGCUCUAAAUGGGUGGUAAAUUUCAUCUAAAGCUAAAUAUUGGCCAGAGACCGAUAGCGCACAAGUAGAGUGAUCGAAAGAUGAAAAGCACUUUGGAAAGAGAGUUAAACAGUACGUGAAAUUGUUGAAAGGGAAGCGCUUGCAACCAGACUUGCGCGGGGUUGAUCAUCCGGGGUUCUCCCCGGUGCACUCGGCCUCGCUCAGGCCAGCAUCGGUUUUGGUGGUUGGAUAAAGGCCUUGGGAAUGUGACUUCUUUCGGGGAGUGUUAUAGCCCUCGGUGCAAUGCAGCCUACCGGGACCGAGGACCGCGCUUCGGCUAGGAUGCUGGCGUAAUGGUUGUAAGCGACCCGUCUUGAAACACGGACCAAGGAGUCUAACAUCUAUGCGAGUGUUUGGGUGUCAAACCCAUACGCGUAAUGAAAGUGAACGGAGGUGAGAACCCUUAAGGGUGCAUCAUCGACCGAUCCUGAUGUCUUCGGAUGGAUUUGAGUAAGAGCAUAGCUGUUGGGACCCGAAAGAUGGUGAACUAUGCCUGAAUAGGGUGAAGCCAGAGGAAACUCUGGUGGAGGCUCGCAGCGGUUCUGACGUGCAAAUCGAUCGUCAAAUUUGGGCAUAGGGGCGAAAGACUAAUCG
RNAcentral lists this ribosomal RNA (844 nucleotides) under Pezicula cinnamomea. RNAcentral describes it as "eukaryotic LSU rRNA". It matches the Rfam family "Eukaryotic large subunit ribosomal RNA", at positions 76 to 937 of the family's 3401-position model. The record is from RNAcentral. Lineage: Eukaryota; Fungi; Ascomycota; Leotiomycetes; Helotiales; Dermateaceae.